GCACAUGUCGAUAUGUCCGAUAGUGGUAUUUUCUUUGGGGAGGACUUUAUCUGGAUAGACAUACCAGAAGAUCCCAACGAUUUGCUGAUAACACUGCCGGAGGACAAGGCCCCAGCAGUCAUUACAGUCAGAAACGCCGACCCCUACAAGAAUGUGUGGUGUGAGGGAAAUAGGUACAUAAAGGACGAGGAUUUGUAAAGCUCGUCAGAUAGACUCCCAUUUUAUCACGACCAAACUAGCCCCGACCAAACCUACAGAUUUGUGGAAGGACACAGUUAUAUAUAUUAAGUUUUUAUGAUUUUGAUUAUUUUAGUACGGAUUUUUUGUAAUUUCACAGGUUCUUAAUUAAAUUACUUCACAAAGAUAUGUAAUUAAAGCUAUUUAUAGAGAUCUAUAUUUUUAUAUUAUAUCAGUCAUUGUGAAUUGAUCCCAGUCAUUAUACGCCUGAGAACGACAUUAUUAUUAAUAAUUUAAUAAUAAAUAUUUAUAUUAUUUUUAAGUGCAUGUAUAUUUUAUAAAUUUUAUAUAUUUCUUAGACGAUUUUAAGAAAGGAAAAGUCAGGGAUUUUUAUGACUUCUCCCUAGGACCAACAGUUAAUUUUGACAUAAUCCGAUUUGGUGUUUCAGAAUGUUUUAUUAAUUAAUUUUUAAGUUUGAAAAUUAAAGCUGAA
Molecule: long non-coding RNA, 670 nt
Organism: Bolinopsis microptera
Lineage: Eukaryota; Metazoa; Ctenophora; Tentaculata; Lobata; Bolinopsidae
Exons: 2
Source: RefSeq, a predicted model, not a curated record